GUGGAUAUAGCUCAGUGGUAGAGCACUUGCUUAGCACACAUGAGGUCCUGGGUUCUAUUCCCAGUACCUUCA
Molecule: transfer RNA, 72 nt
Filed under: Camelus bactrianus (Bactrian camel)
Lineage: Eukaryota; Metazoa; Chordata; Mammalia; Artiodactyla; Camelidae
Also listed under: 2 other names
Rfam family: tRNA
About the family: Transfer RNA (tRNA) molecules are approximately 80 nucleotides in length.
Source: Rfam by way of RNAcentral